This 460-nucleotide long non-coding RNA is filed under the name Cucumis sativus (cucumber). Its description in RNAcentral is "long non-coding RNA (CSAT_LNC002329)". The record is from RNAcentral. Lineage: Eukaryota; Viridiplantae; Streptophyta; Magnoliopsida; Cucurbitales; Cucurbitaceae.
CCUUUCGCGAAAACGUUCAACCUCUCCGGAUCGAAAACGUUCUCCCUUCACUUCUGUUGUCGUUCAAGAACCUAGCAACACUUACGCCGUCUACCGUCAACUAAGUACCAGAUCCUUCACCUUCGAUUGUUCGUCGCCUGCUGUCCACUGAGUACCAGAACCUAGCAACACUUCCACCAUUCGACCGUUUUGUUGGUGCCUUUAUGUUAUCGUUGCUCAAUGGUAUGCUUUUAUUUGAUCUGGGCUAAAAUCUCAUGGCAACCACGAGCAAGAUGACCCCAACAAGAAGGACAAGAAACAACACCCUUCAUCAUCGUAUUGGCGAUCUCUUUGAGGUCGCUGCAUUUGUACUAAGAAAAAAUGGUGGAUCAAUGCGCGUUAUAUUUAUUGUUCAACAAGAAAAACUGCGGAGUUUCGAAUGAAUGGAGACGUGAAAGCCUAAAGAAUAUCGCCACCACGA